AACGAACGCUGGCGGCAUGCCUAACACAUGCAAGUCGAACGAGACCUUCGGGUCUAGUGGCGCACGGGUGCGUAACGCGUGGGAAUCUGCCCUUGGGUUCGGAAUAACAGUUGGAAACGACUGCUAAUACCGGAUGAUGACGUAAGUCCAAAGAUUUAUCGCCCAAGGAUGAGCCCGCGUAGGAUUAGCUAGUUGGUAAGGUAAAGGCUCACCACGGCGACGAUCCUUAGCUGGGCUGAGAGAAUGAUCAGCCACACUGGGACUGAGAAGCGGCCCAGACUCCUACGGGAGGCAGGAAUGGGGAAUAUUGGAAAAUGGGCGAAAGCCUGAUCCAGCAAUGCCGCGUGAGUGAUGAAGGCCUUAGGGUUGUAAAGCUCUUUUACCCGGGAUGAUAAUGACAGUACCGGGAGAAUAAGCUCCGGCUAACUCCGUG
This 433-nucleotide ribosomal RNA is filed under the name uncultured bacterium. RNAcentral describes it as "partial 16S ribosomal RNA". It matches the Rfam family "Bacterial small subunit ribosomal RNA", at positions 29 to 507 of the family's 1533-position model. The record is from RNAcentral.